UGUAAUUUCAAUAUACUUUAGACCACAUAUCACUAAGAAAGGGUAAGGAGUUAAAAAGUUGCUAAAAACAUCGUGAUUAAUGAACGAACCCUAAGAAUAAUAAAGAUCUAACUUUAAUUUUAUGUCUGACUAUUGUAGUUAUAUUUUGACUCAUCAGAGCACCUCUAUGUACCGACAGAUGUAUGUAAGUAGUAGCCUGUGAUUGUAUACUAAUAAAAUCACAGUAGACUGAAUUGCUAUUAAUACCGUAAAUAUUUUGAAAUUGAUCAAUAAAAAUCAUUAAUUAAACAUUUUUAUAGUUUCGAAAUAUGUGCAUAUUUGUGAUUUUUAUUACAAUUUUUUUAAGUUAUGAUUAAAUGUUUUGUUAUAAUUAGGGAUAAAAGUUGAUAAUGAAAGUAAGUAGCGAGUAUAGUAUAAUAUAUGUGGCAUUCUUUUAAAACUUGUUUCAAUAUAUAAAAAUAAUUCUUAUUAAAUUUAUUAUUUAUUUACAUUCUAAAAUCAAUUACGAAUCCGAAGUUAGUGUUAGUUAGUAAAUUUUAUUUAUAACAAAAUAUAAAAAAAAAUUGUCAGCUUGCGAAUAAUGCCACAUAUAUUUUUAAAUUAUUUUAGUUAAUUAUGUGUACAAGUAUGAUCGAAAUUAAUUUCAAGUAUGGAUACAGAACUUAUUAAGCGAGAGUAUUUUAUUUUGGAGUCGAAAUUUUACUUAUUUUUGUAACGUUUAAAUAAAUAGAUACUUAGUAAGUGUAAGUGAUAUAGUGAUAUAUUUAUAAUUAAUAUUAACAAUUUUGUAAUUGUUUUUGUUUAUACAGAUUAGAAUAAUUUUGUAAGUUAAUGUAAAUAUUGAAUGAAAUGAUUGUGUAGAUAAAA
Melitaea cinxia (Glanville fritillary) is the source of this 867-nucleotide long non-coding RNA. RefSeq lists it as uncharacterized. NCBI's taxonomy places the organism in Eukaryota, Metazoa, Arthropoda, Insecta, Lepidoptera, Nymphalidae. The transcript is spliced from 2 exons. The record is from RefSeq and is a predicted model, not a curated record.